RNAcentral lists this ribosomal RNA (301 nucleotides) under uncultured bacterium. RNAcentral describes it as "partial 16S ribosomal RNA". It matches the Rfam family "Bacterial small subunit ribosomal RNA", at positions 509 to 809 of the family's 1533-position model. The record is from RNAcentral.
CAGCCGCCGCGGUAAUACAGAGGGUGCGAGCGUUAAUCGGAUUUACUGGGCGUAAAGCGUGCGUAGGCGGCUUUUUAAGUCGGAUGUGAAAUCCCUGAGCUUAACUUAGGAAUUGCAUUCGAUACUGGGAAGCUAGAGUAUGGGAGAGGAUGGUAGAAUUCCAGGUGUAGCGGUGAAAUGCGUAGAGAUCUGGAGGAAUACCGAUGGCGAAGGCAGCCAUCUGGCCUAAUACUGACGCUGAGGUACGAAAGCAUGGGGAGCAAAUAGGAUUAGAUACCCCCGUAGUCCCUGUCUCUUAUAA